UAUGCUCCCCUUCUCCCCUGUGCUCUCUCCAGAGACUAAGUGUGAGCACAGGGAGAAGGGGAGAUUUCCCCUUCUUCCCUUCCGAGCGAUAGUAUGCUCCCCUUCUCCCCUGUGCUCUCUCCAGAGACUAAGUGUGAGCACAGGGAGAAGGGGAACAUACUAACGCUCGGAAGGGAAGAAGUGGUAAUCCCCCUUCUCCUGUGCGCCCUCCCGUACCCCGGGUUUACAGAAAAGUUUCCGCACGAUUUCAGAAACCCAGUUUUCGGAAACACAGGCCUCCAGAGCUGAGCCCCGGACAUGCCCGGGGAUUGUUGCCCGCCCCGAGUGAAGCUCAGAACGGCCUUCUGUUGCCCGGUUGUCCCCUCCAAACUGCGGUUCUCUGCCUGACCGAUUGGCAUCCGUGGCUCGCCAUCGGAGGGCCCCCGCCGGCCGGCCUCGUUGCCGGUGUUCGGGCGGACGGUUCCUCCGGCCUGCGGGCCGGCCUCUAUGUCCCCGGGUGGGUCCGUGCGCGGUGGUUAGCAGCCCCACGCACUUCCCCUGGGUUCGAAUGAUCUGUAGCGAGACCGAGACGCCCCGUCUGCCUCAGCCGUCCUACGACGGAGCCCGGCGCUGUGUCGUGGGUUAUGCCGGCAUAACCCUCCCCCGCUAAGUUGCGCCGCGGCCUCCGGAGAGCACAGCGUUUCUCAAAGACAGCCUCUCGAACCAAGAGAGAAGGGGGUCUCAGCCCCCGGCAAACGAUGCUUCGGUCCUCCGCCGGGAGCCGCCUUCCAGGCGGCCCCGGGAGGCCACCGCACCGUUGGAGAGCAC
Molecule: long non-coding RNA, 807 nt
Organism: Lates calcarifer (barramundi perch)
Lineage: Eukaryota; Metazoa; Chordata; Actinopteri; Centropomidae
Exons: 2
Source: RefSeq, a predicted model, not a curated record